GACGAACGCUGGCGGCGUGCUUAACACAUGCAAGUCGAGCGAACAAAGCUCCUCCGGGAGUGGAGUUAGCGGCGGACGGGCGAGUAACACGUGGGUAACCUGCCUUAUAGAGGGGGAUAGCCUUCCGAAAGGAAGAUUAAUACCGCAUAAGAAGUAGAAGUCGCAUGGCUUUAGCUUUAAAGGAGCAAUCCGCUAUAAGAUGGACCCGCGGCGCAUUAGCUAGUUGGUGAGGUAACGGCUCACCAAGGCGACGAUGCGUAGCCGACCUGAGAGGGUGAUCGGCCACAUUGGAACUGAGACACGGUCCAGACUCCUACGGGAGGCAGCAGUGGGGAAUAUUGCACAAUGGGCGAAAGCCUGAUGCAGCAACGCCGCGUGGGUGAUGAAGGUUUUCGGAUCGUAAAGCCCUGUCUUUUGGGAUGAUAAUGACGGUACCAAAGGAGGAAGCCACGGCUAACUACGUGCCAGCCGCCGCGGUAA
This 480-nucleotide ribosomal RNA is filed under the name uncultured bacterium. RNAcentral describes it as "partial 16S ribosomal RNA". It matches the Rfam family "Bacterial small subunit ribosomal RNA", at positions 28 to 523 of the family's 1533-position model. The record is from RNAcentral.